GUACAUUAACUUAUACUAAACCACACUGGCUCUGCUCUGGUCAUGUGACCACUGUCUGUCCGUCCUCGUCCAAUCAGAGCGUCUGUCGGGGGACAACGUGGCGGUGUCGUGUCCACGCUUGAGUCCAGACGGAUCCACGUUGGUCUUCCUCCAGGGUCGAGUGUUUGGACCUCACAACCAGUGUCUCAGCAUCCAACAGAUGGAUCUGCAGACUGGGACGUUGUCCACUCUGGUGGACGUGGUCCACAGACCACAGGAUGGUGGCUUCGCAGGUGUGUAUGAAGCGCUGCCGUCCUGCUGUUGGUCUACAGACGCUCAUAGAAUUGUGUUCAGCAGCGCCUGCAGGAACUGGAAGGUAACCAACACAACCUGUUCUGUUUUCUACCACUGAAUGUUUUUCAUGGGUUUUUCAUCAGUGUUU
Molecule: long non-coding RNA, 421 nt
Filed under: Sphaeramia orbicularis (orbiculate cardinalfish)
Lineage: Eukaryota; Metazoa; Chordata; Actinopteri; Kurtiformes; Apogonidae
Description: lncRNA (ENSSORG00005015436.1)
Source: RNAcentral